This is a long non-coding RNA of Oncorhynchus keta (chum salmon), 536 nucleotides long. RefSeq lists it as uncharacterized. Lineage: Eukaryota; Metazoa; Chordata; Actinopteri; Salmoniformes; Salmonidae. The record is from RefSeq and is a predicted model, not a curated record. The transcript is spliced from 3 exons.
UGAUCUGAACACCAUCCUGAAGUGGUCAGUCUGAUCUGAACACAAUCCUGAAGUGGUCAGUCUGAUCUGAACACAAUCAGACCACAAAGCCACUUUUGUGCGUCUAGACCCGUCUUUUAAAUCCGAGCUUCGUACUCUGAUAGCAGAAAUCGCAUGUAAGUGUCAAGUGUAGACACGAUCCGGACUACCUCCGGAGAAAAUCUAAUCACAAUAUCAAUGGUAUUUUAAUUGUCUACACCUGUCUAAAAAUGUGGGCAACAUCGGAAAGUCAACAAGAUCUGGACACAUGGUAGAACCAGGUAUAAACGGGGUAGAACACAUGGUAGAACCAGGUAUAAACGGGGUAGAACACACGGUAGAACCGGGUAUAAACGGGGUAGAACACACGGUAGAACCGGGUAUAAACGGGGUAGAACACAUGGUAGAACCAGGUAUAAACGGGGUAGAACACACGGUAGAACCGGGUAUAAACGGGGCCCCAGAUGUUAGAAACACAUCUUGUGUACAGUGCUUCAUUCAGUGUUUUUCUGUUACUC